RNAcentral lists this long non-coding RNA (1425 nucleotides) under Apteryx haastii (Great spotted kiwi). RNAcentral describes it as "lncRNA (ENSAHAG00000011508.1)". Lineage: Eukaryota; Metazoa; Chordata; Aves; Apterygiformes; Apterygidae. The record is from RNAcentral.
CCAGAAGAUCAUGGUGCCGGGGGGGGAUUGGGGGGCAAGAGGAAAGCGCCGGCGGGCGAGCGAGCGCCGCGGCUGCUGCCCGCGGCCGGCUGCGACGCUGCGGGAGAGGCUGACAGGAGACGAGCCGCCCCCACCCUCCUCUCCUCCUUCCCAUCCCUGGACCGGCCCCUUUUCCAUCCCAGGGCAGCCGCGGGGCCUCCGGCGCUCCCGGGGGUGCCCCUCACCGCGGCCUCCACCGUGCCCGGCCACCCCGCGCCCCUAAGCGCGCCGCACGCUGGAUCGUGCCCCAGCAGCCCCACGCGCCUCCUGACUGACCCUCGGUUCACUGAUUUCCCCUUGGUUUCAGCGCAGGCCGCCCUUCAUCCCAGAAGAGGUGAGGGCCGGAGGGACAUUUUCUCUGCCAGCAGGGCCCGAGAUGGCCGGUGCCCCCCGGCCCUGCUGGGAGGCGAAGCCCAUCCGGAGGCUGCCGGAGCCUCUCCAUGGCUGGGGACAGCCACGACGUGCAGGAGCCCUGAGCGGCUGGUGCCACCGUUCACCAAAACGAGCCCCCUCUCCCCCCCCUUCACCUGGGGGAGCGCGGCCCGAGGGGGAGAGCGCGGCCUCCACGUGGGAGGGGUAAAACCCUCGGGUUUUGCCCUCCCCACGGGGAUUUUUAAGCUCCCCCCCCCCCGCCAGUCUCCCCUCACUGCCGGGGAGGACACGCUCCUCGCCACAAGGCUCCGGGAGGGAAAGGCGAAGCCGCGGGGCACGGAGGAAGGGCGAACGCAGCCCCGCGGCGAGGCCCGAACCGCUGAGCUCCCGGCGGCGGCCACGUCUCCUCCUCCCCACUCCGCAGAGGCCUGUUUUCCUGUCAAAAGCUGCCCCAGGGGCCCGGUUCCCGGAGCAGGGCAGGGCUCCCUCCGCACCCCUCCUCGCCUUGGCGCCGGGCCUGGCAGCCAGGUGCCACCCGGCCGAGGCGCAGAGGCCCCGGGAGCCUGGCGCCUUGUUUCGGGCCCGGCGUGGCCAAAGCCACCCGUUUCACCCCGCUCCUCCUCCCGCUCGCCCUCCUGGUUUGCGGGCUGCGAGGAGCGGAGGCGAGCCCCCUCUGCGCGCCCCCUCCGUGGGGCUCCCCCCGGCAGAGCCCUCUCCAUCGCCGCCGGCCCCGCGCAGGCAGCCCCGGCCCCUUGUCUUUCUUUUUUUUUUUUUUUUUCUUUUUUUUGGCAUGUGCAAGGUGCUGCAUACACAAUCCUGUCAGGAUUCAAGCCACUGCAUUCUCCUUUUCCUUCCCAGCUCUGCGUCAUCAGUCAAAGCUGUUUUGCUUCAGGGCUAGUUCGUGCCAGUAACAGUCUGGUGCGUGGAUCAGCACCCAGUCUGAAUCACAACAUUUUCAGACGGAGAGGGCCGCUGCUAAGGGCAGACCAGGGCAUAAGAGCACAGCCAGAAUAA